UGGGGAAUAUUGCACAAUGGGCGCAAGCCUGAUGCAGCCAUGCCGCGUGUAUGAAGAAGGCCUUCGGGUUGUAAAGUACUUUCAGUCGGGAGGAAGGUGGUAAGGUUAAUAACCUUAUCAAUUGACGUUACCGACAGAAGAAGCACCGGCUAACUCCGUGCCAGCAGCCGCGGUAAUACGGAGGGUGCAAGCGUUAAUCGGAAUUACUGGGCGUAAAGCGCACGCAGGCGGUUUGUUAAGUCAGAUGUGAAAUCCUCGGGCUCAACCUGGGAACUGCAUCUGAUACUGGCAAGCUUGAGUCUCGUAGAGGGGGGUAGAAUUCCAGGUGUAGCGAUGAAAUGCGUAGAGAUCUGGAGGAAUACCGGUGGCGAAGGCGGCCCCCUGGACAAAGACUGACGCUCAGGUGCGAAAGCGUGGGGAGCAAACAGG
This 429-nucleotide ribosomal RNA is filed under the name Chloroflexota bacterium. RNAcentral describes it as "Chloroflexi bacterium partial 16S ribosomal RNA". It matches the Rfam family "Bacterial small subunit ribosomal RNA", at positions 355 to 776 of the family's 1533-position model. Lineage: Bacteria; Bacillati; Chloroflexota. The record is from RNAcentral.